RNAcentral lists this long non-coding RNA (363 nucleotides) under Homo sapiens (human). RNAcentral's name for it is "long non-coding RNA NONHSAT054713.2". Lineage: Eukaryota; Metazoa; Chordata; Mammalia; Primates; Hominidae. The record is from RNAcentral.
GGGGAUGAUGAAAUUAGUUGAGCAAUUAAAAGAAGAGAGAGAACUGCUAAGGUCCACAACGUCGCAAUUGAAAGCUUUGCUGCACAAGAAAAACAAAUGGAAGUUUGUGAAGUAUGUGGAGCCUUUUUAAUAGUAGGAGAUGCCCAGUCCCGGGUAGAUGACCAUUUGAUGGGAAAACAACACAUGGGCUAUGCCAAAAUUAAAGCUACUGUAGAAGAAUUAAAAAAAAGUUAAGGAAAAGAACCGAAGAACCUGAUCGUGAUGAGCGUCUAAAAAAGGAGAAGCAAGAAAGAGAAGAAAGAGAAAAAGAACGGGAGAGAGAAAGGGAAGAAAGAGAAAGGAAAAGACGAAGGGAAGAGGAAG